RNAcentral lists this ribosomal RNA (380 nucleotides) under uncultured eukaryote. RNAcentral describes it as "partial 18S ribosomal RNA". It matches the Rfam family "Eukaryotic small subunit ribosomal RNA", at positions 592 to 976 of the family's 1831-position model. The record is from RNAcentral.
CAAUAGCGUAUAUUAAAGUUGUUGCGGUUAAAAAGCUCGUAGUUGGAUUUCUGCUGAGGACGAUCGGUCCGCCCACUGGGUGAGUAUCUGGCUCGGCCUUGGCAUCUUCUUGGAGAACGUUGCUGCACUUGACUGUGUGGUGCGGUAUCCAGGACUUUUACUUUGAGGAAAUUAGAGUGUUUCAAGCAGGCGCACGCCUUGAAUACAUUAGCAUGGAAUAAUAAGAUAGGACCUUGGUUCUAUUUUGUUGGUUUCUAGAGCUGAGGUAAUGAUUAAUAGGGAUAGUUGGGGGCAUUCGUAUUUAACUGUCAGAGGUGAAAUUCUCGGAUUUGUUAAAGACGGACUACUGCGAAAGCAUUUGCCAAGGAUGUUUUCAUUGA